RNAcentral lists this ribosomal RNA (419 nucleotides) under uncultured bacterium. RNAcentral's name for it is "bacterial SSU rRNA". It matches the Rfam family "Bacterial small subunit ribosomal RNA", at positions 356 to 774 of the family's 1533-position model. The record is from RNAcentral.
AAGGAAUAUUGCUCAAUGGGAGAAAUCCUGAAGCAGCAACGCCGCGUGGAGGAUGAAGGGUCUAUGACUUGUAAACUCCUGUAAAGAAGGAAAAAAUUCCCAUUAGAUGGGAGAUGAUGGUACUUCUGGAGUAAGCCCCGGCUAACUACGUGCCAGCAGCCGCGGUAAUACGUAGGGGGCAAGUGUUGUCCGGAUUUACUGGGUGUAAAGGGUGCUCAGGCGGAUUUGUAAGUCAGAGGUGAAAUCUUACAGCUUAACUGUGAAACUGCCUUUGAUACUGCAAGCCUAGAGUAUGGAAGAGAGUGAUGGAAUAUCUGGUGUAGCAGUGAAAUGCGUAGAUAUCAGGUAGAACACCAAUGGCGAAGGCAGUCACUUGGUCCAUUACUGACGCUAAAGCACGAAAGCGUGGGUAGCAAACA